Molecule: transfer RNA, 73 nt
Filed under: Stegodyphus mimosarum
Lineage: Eukaryota; Metazoa; Arthropoda; Arachnida; Araneae; Eresidae
Rfam family: tRNA
About the family: Transfer RNA (tRNA) molecules are approximately 80 nucleotides in length. Their secondary structure includes four short double-helical elements and three loops (D, anti-codon, and T loops). Further hydrogen bonds mediate the characteristic L-shaped molecular structure. tRNAs have two regions of fundamental functional importance: the anti-codon, which is responsible for specific mRNA codon recognition, and the 3' end, to which the tRNAs corresponding amino acid is attached (by aminoacyl-tRNA synthetases). tRNAs cope with the degeneracy of the genetic code in two manners: having more than one tRNA (with a specific anti-codon) for a particular amino acid; and 'wobble' base-pairing, i.e. permitting non-standard base-pairing at the 3rd anti-codon position.
Source: Rfam by way of RNAcentral
GCCUUCGUGGUGUAGUGGUCAGCACGCUCGUCACAUAUUCGAGAGGGCCGUGGUUCGAGUCCCAGCAAGGUCA